AAGCUACACAACUUAACAGCAGGCAAACAAACUACGCGUUUCGAACAACAGCAAAACACAACACAGAAAACAACCGAACGAAUACUUUUUUGCUUCUUCUUUUUCAAUAUUAUUCAUCCGUUCGUAUCAAAUAAAAAAACGGAGCGCACUUACGACACACAACUGGCAACGAACGACAACGAACACAACGUCGUCGCAAGUGCUACAGCCAUUUUGUACUUUGAAUUCACAUGAAGAAAUUGUACAGCGAUUAACUGAAUCUAAGGUUUUCAGCAAAUCAGCUAAAGCACAGGGUUGUAACAAAACGUACUGCAGCUGAAUAAACUACUAAAUCACAAAAUAGUAAUGAAAUAAAAACAAAAAUAAUGUAAUGUAAUUAUGCCAUCAUAAACUACCCUAAAAAUUUAUUAUUAUAAAAAGAAAACACA
Lucilia cuprina (Australian sheep blowfly) is the source of this 428-nucleotide long non-coding RNA. RefSeq lists it as uncharacterized. NCBI's taxonomy places the organism in Eukaryota, Metazoa, Arthropoda, Insecta, Diptera, Calliphoridae. The record is from RefSeq and is a predicted model, not a curated record. The transcript is spliced from 2 exons.